AUGGGAGGUAAAUUCCUUCUAAAGCUAAAUACUGGCCAGAGACCGAUAGCGCACAAGUAGAGUGAUCGAAAGAUGAAAAGCACUUUGAAAAGAGGGUUAAACAGCACGUGAAAUUGUUGAAAGGGAAGCGCUUGUGACCAGACUUGCGCCGGGCUGAUCAUCCGGUGUUCUCACCGGUGCACUCUACCCGGCUCAGGCCAGCAUCGGUUUUAGCGGGGGGAUAAAGGCCCCGGGAACGUAGCUCCCCCGGGAGUGUUAUAGCCCGGGACGUAAUGCCCCCGCCGGGACCGAGGACCGCGCUUCGGCAAGGAUGCUGGCGUAAUGGUCAUCAGCGACCCGUCUUGAAACACGGACCAAGGAGAAUCA
RNAcentral lists this ribosomal RNA (366 nucleotides) under uncultured Chaetomium. RNAcentral's name for it is "LSU rRNA". It matches the Rfam family "Eukaryotic large subunit ribosomal RNA", at positions 292 to 678 of the family's 3401-position model. The record is from RNAcentral. Lineage: Eukaryota; Fungi; Ascomycota; Sordariomycetes; Sordariales; Chaetomiaceae.